This 253-nucleotide ribosomal RNA is filed under the name uncultured bacterium. RNAcentral's name for it is "partial 16S ribosomal RNA". It matches the Rfam family "Bacterial small subunit ribosomal RNA", at positions 524 to 776 of the family's 1533-position model. The record is from RNAcentral.
UACGGGGGGGGCAAGCGUUGUUCGGAAUUACUGGGCGUAAAGGGCGCGUAGGCGGCCUGCUAAGUCGGAUGUGAAAUCCCUCGGCUCAACCGAGGAACUGCAUCCGAUACUGGCGGGCUUGAAUCCGGGAGAGGGAUGUGGAAUUCCAGGUGUAGCGGUGAAAUGCGUAGAUAUCUGGAGGAACACCGGUGGCGAAGGCGGCAUCCUGGACCGGUAUUGACGCUGAGGUGCGAAAGCUAGGGGAGCAAACGGG